GAUAUGGACAGAAUUGAAAGUUAGGCAUAUUUACAUUUGUUUCCGCUUCGUUUUCCAGAAAGCAUUUGAUAAUCAUGUCAAAUGGAAAUCUUCUCACCGAUUGAGCCAGCCUUUAUCAUCAUCAUCUUAGUGCUUGCUCGACGAUUUGCUCUACUUUGUUGGAGUCAAGAACUUGAUUUUGAUUAAUCUGGUAUUACAACUCGACACUUUCUCCAAUUCGACUUGAAGACGAUUGAAGCUGCAAAUAAAUUUGCAAUGACUAAAAAGCUAGGUCAAGGUGGAUUCGGCGAAGUUUUCUAGUGGAACAGAAGUUGCAGUGAAGAGGCUAUCAAAAACAUCAGAGCAAGGCGCAGACAAGGUCAAGAACGAGGUUGUUGUUGUUGCAAAACUUCAUCAUAGGAAUCUCGUAAGGCUUCUAGGAUUUUGUUUGGAAGGCAAAGAAAAAAAAAAUACUUGUUUUCCCAAACAAGAGCCUUGAUUGCUUCCUAUUUGAUUAGUAGAAUGAGCAUUUGAUAUACAUGCAUGGGCUUCUAUCUGAUUUUUGGGAUGGGCCAAAAUCGAGCUGAAAUACGCAGGAUAGUUGGGACACGGUAUAUGCAUAUUACCCUUGAUAUGGUCUAUCUACAGAAGCUUCAAGAAUUUUUUCUUGGCCAGUAAUGUACAAAAGUGUGAUAGUAUAUAUCCGAAAAUGUUGCUUCUGUUUUGCUA
Camelina sativa (false flax) is the source of this 708-nucleotide long non-coding RNA. RefSeq lists it as uncharacterized. The record is from RefSeq and is a predicted model, not a curated record. Lineage: Eukaryota; Viridiplantae; Streptophyta; Magnoliopsida; Brassicales; Brassicaceae.